GACACGAGGAUUUUCAGUCCUCUGCUCUACCAGCUGAG
Molecule: transfer RNA, 38 nt
Filed under: Hemigraphis repanda
Lineage: Eukaryota; Viridiplantae; Streptophyta; Magnoliopsida; Lamiales; Acanthaceae
Also listed under: 1 other name
Description: partial tRNA-Phe
Source: RNAcentral